AUUACUCCAAGCUUGUGCUCCAC
RNAcentral lists this non-coding RNA (23 nucleotides) under Rattus norvegicus (Norway rat). The record is from RNAcentral. Lineage: Eukaryota; Metazoa; Chordata; Mammalia; Rodentia; Muridae.